AGUGAACGCUGGCGGUAGGCCUAACACAUGCAAGUCGAACGGCAGCACAGUAAGAGCUUGCUCUUACGGGUGGCGAGUGGCGGACGGGUGAGGAAUACAUCGGAAUCUACUUUUUCGUGGGGGAUAACGUAGGGAAACUUACGCUAAUACCGCAUACGACCUACGGGUGAAAGCAGGGGAUCUUCGGACCUUGCGCGAUUGAAUGAGCCGAUAUCGGAUUAGCUAGUUGGCGGGGUAAAGGCCCACCAAGGCGACGAUCCGUAGCUGGUCUGAGAGGAUGAUCAGCCACACUGGAACUGAGACACGGUCCAGACUCCUACGGGAGACAGCAGUGGGGAAUAUUGGACAAUGGGCGCAAGCCUGAUCCAGCCAUACCGCGUGGGUGAAGAAGGCCUUCGGGUUGUAAAGCCCUUUUGUUGGGAAAGAAAAGCAGCAGGUUAAUACCCCGCUGUUCUGACGGUACCCAAAGAAUAAGCACCGGCUAACUUCGUG
RNAcentral lists this ribosomal RNA (492 nucleotides) under uncultured bacterium. RNAcentral describes it as "partial 16S ribosomal RNA". It matches the Rfam family "Bacterial small subunit ribosomal RNA", at positions 29 to 507 of the family's 1533-position model. The record is from RNAcentral.